CUUCCCGGUCUGGGGCCAGAUGCCGAAGAUCCAGAGGUGGUUCCUAAGCCCUUGGAGAUGCAUAAUAACUUGAAGGCAUUUUUUUCAAAUGCACGCCAAUCCACUGGGUCAGAGACCGUCUGAGGAGAUGACAGCAGAUAAGGGGAGUCAGCCACAUUCUGGAAGCUGGAAAGCAGAUGGUGAGUGGAGAUUGACUUAAGAAACCUGAGAAGUUGAAACCUGACUAUUCGAGGGGAGGCGGGGUGGGGCGGGGAACCAUGAGGACAUGAGACAAUUUAAGCUCCUGUGAACGUCUCAGGGGUUGGAAGCCCCAGCGAUCUCCAAAGAGCGGUGCAGAGCAGAGUGAGAAGCAGAAGGGCUGCUCGGUAACCAUCCGUGGACAACUGGACUUCUGGGUGUCCUAGCCCAGCUGGCACAGGCAGGACAUGACCUCUCCCCACUGGAGCAGGUGGGGGGUCCCUCUCGCAGGAGGCAGGACGAUGAUCUGAGAGAAUGUUCACGCCAGGCUCAGCACUGGGCUUGGAAUAUAGCAGGUCCUUGAUGUGAAGGCCUGCACUCCAGCAGCCAUCUUGGACAAUGAGGAUAAGGACCACCUGCUAAGGAUGGCAGAGCAGAGAGAUGGAAGGAGCCAUCUUCAUGGAGUUGCCAUACCUGCAUUGCCCACAUUUGGACUUCUUUCAUGUGACGUACAAACCAACUUCUUUCUUGUUUUGGCUGCUAUAAUUUUAGGAUUUUCUGUUGUGUGCAUAUGAUCCUAAUCCUGUAAACUUGAGUUGGGGACAACCACUCCAUCGUUGUUGUUCUCUUUCCUAUUCAGAGAUCCUAGAAGAUGAGAAUCAGUGGAGACCUUAGCUCAGGGGCAAAAUCUGGUCCACAGAUGUUUUCUUUAGCUCAUACAAAGUUUUAAAAAUCAGGAGAUAUUUGGACAUAUUUUCAACACUAAAAUUGCAUUUUCUGGCUUUUCUUGAAUAGUUGGGGGAUCUGGCAAUACUAGAUUCAUUCAGCAUGGCAGCAUUUAGAUGAGACACCUGCUCCUUCAUUGCAAAAUCCCCCACUCCUAUUGCUAAUAUAUAUAAAAUAUCUAUA
This is a non-coding RNA of Sus scrofa (pig), 1086 nucleotides long. NCBI's taxonomy places the organism in Eukaryota, Metazoa, Chordata, Mammalia, Artiodactyla, Suidae. The record is from RefSeq and is a predicted model, not a curated record.